RNAcentral lists this ribosomal RNA (253 nucleotides) under uncultured bacterium. Its description in RNAcentral is "partial 16S ribosomal RNA". It matches the Rfam family "Bacterial small subunit ribosomal RNA", at positions 524 to 776 of the family's 1533-position model. The record is from RNAcentral.
UACGAAGGGGGCUAGCGUUGUUCGGAAUGACUGGGCGUAAAGGGCGCGUAGGCGGCGUGUCAAGUCAGGCGUGAAAGCCCCGGGCUCAACCUGGGAACCGCGCUUGAGACUGGCAUGCUCGAGUUCGGGAGAGGAUGGUGGAAUUCCCAGUGUAGAGGUGAAAUUCGUAGAUAUUGGGAAGAACACCGAUGGCGAAGGCAGCCAUCUGGACCGACACUGACGCUGAGGCGCGAAAGCUAGGGGAGCAAACGGG